GGUACACUUGCCAGAGACAACACAAGCACAUGGGAAUCUUAACGUAAUGAGAGGCUUUGAUCAUCAGGAUCUUUCAGCACCCUGCGUCUCCUCAAGUCUGAGGAGAGUAAGACAGAGAGACAGAAAGACAGGGAGAAGGGCACAUACCAAGAUCCUUUGUGUAGGAGCUAAAAGGUGGGCAUGACAGGCAUGCAACAAAUGGGCUCCAUGUGCGGCCACAUCAAUGCUGACCAGUCCUUAAAAGAGCAGCGAGAACAUCAAAACCCGCAUAAUGGCAAGGGUACAUCUGGCUGGUAUACUCUAAAGAAAAGCAAUCAGACCAUCUGGAGAGAACACACAUACACACAUGCUCUCAGUGAAAGGCCGCAUGAUUGCCCAUUCAGUGGCUUCAUAACAAACACAACCUCAGCAUCUGGCUCUGCAGCGGUCAGCCAUUUUAAUUAUGCAGCACAUGGAUUUCCUCCCAGAGCGAUGAAGGCUCUUUCUGGAAUAAUCCUGCCAGAUGGAGUAUCAGGCUGCUGCUGACCAACCCAUGAGGCAAGAAGCUGCUGUUAAAAAACCUGAUGCAUUUUUAGCUCACUUUUUUUCUGUCAUGCAAAUGACAGCAAGGAGCUAUCAUAGCAGAGAGAAAAACUCUCUCUCUCUCUCUCUUUCUGUCUUUCUGUUUGUAGUUUGUGCUGAUGUUGAUUACUUGUAAUUAUGCUUAGAAGGGUCAAUUCAUUCAAAUAUUCAACUUUAUAUAUAUGCACACACACAAACACUCUCUCCCUCUCUCUCUCUCUCUCUCUCUCUCUCUCUCUUAGUACCGUAACAUAACAGCAGUUUUUCCAUACUGCAGGUUUUUAUCCAGUUGCCCUUCAGCCUAUAUUGUAAAUGUCCCUGUAAGCCCACACAAAAUGGCAUAUAUUGGAAAUAUAAUACAGUAUAUCAAAAAACUGGCAACUUAGA
This is a long non-coding RNA of Pygocentrus nattereri (red-bellied piranha), 948 nucleotides long. RefSeq lists it as uncharacterized. Lineage: Eukaryota; Metazoa; Chordata; Actinopteri; Characiformes; Serrasalmidae. The transcript has 3 exons. The record is from RefSeq and is a predicted model, not a curated record.